This 883-nucleotide long non-coding RNA is filed under the name Piliocolobus tephrosceles (Ugandan red Colobus). RNAcentral's name for it is "lncRNA (ENSPTEG00000008168.1)". Lineage: Eukaryota; Metazoa; Chordata; Mammalia; Primates; Cercopithecidae. The record is from RNAcentral.
UAUGUACAAAUAAAUUAAUAUAAAAGAACGUUGAUAAGUUCAUGAUAAAAAAUAAUAAAAUAAAUAAAUAAAUAAGUAAAAUAAAAAUUUAUUUUUUUAUUUUUCAUUUACAAUGAAAUAAAAAAAAAAAAAAAAAAAUUAACAUAGUAUAACACAUGAAUAUAUAUAUAUAUAUAUAUAUAUAUAUACCACUUGUAAGUUCACAUAUAUAUAUUUAUAUAUUAUGUUUAGUUAAUAUACUGAUAUAUUCGUACACACUUUUGCAUAUAUAAAUACCACUUAAUAGUUAUAAACGAUUUAUAUUUAUAAUAAAUUGUAUUUUUUUUUUUUUUUUACUUUUUAGGUUUUACUUUUUGUUUAUUUUGAGCUGGUUUGUUUGGUGUUUUAUUAUUUUUUUGCUUUGUCAGUUUUUGGCUUGUCAGUUUUUGGCUUGUCAGUUUUUGCUUUGUCAUUUUUUUGGCUUGUCAGUUUUUGCUUUGUCAGAUUUUGGCUUGUCAGUUUUUUCCUUAUUUAUUUUUUUUUUAGCAAUUUUAUUUUUUUUAUCUUUUUUGGUUUUGAGUUUUGAAAUAGUUUUAAUAGUUUUUUUUUUUUUUUUUUUUUUUUUUUUUUUUUUUUUUUUUUUUUUUUUUUGAGAAUAUUUUGAAAUACCAAUGUUGAUCGAUAAUAACAUAAAAAACUACGUUAGCCGUUAAAUAUUGUACAAAGGGCUUAAGCACUCCCAACUGUUUCGUAUGCACAUAAAUAUAUAUAUAUUUAAUGUAUGUGAGUACAUACGUACAUAAUUUGAUACAUUUAAAUAUAUAACAAAAAAAAAAAAAAAAAAAAAAAAUUAACCCUUUUAUAUUUAAAUAAAAAAAAUAUAAUACAUAUGAUAAAAAAAAAA